UUGACCUCGGAUCAAGUAGGGUU
Molecule: ribosomal RNA, 23 nt
Filed under: Ascosphaera apis
Lineage: Eukaryota; Fungi; Ascomycota; Eurotiomycetes; Onygenales; Ascosphaeraceae
Description: partial 28S ribosomal RNA
Source: RNAcentral